This 22-nucleotide microRNA is filed under the name Triticum aestivum (bread wheat). RNAcentral's name for it is "tae-miR9774". Lineage: Eukaryota; Viridiplantae; Streptophyta; Magnoliopsida; Poales; Poaceae. The record is from miRBase by way of RNAcentral.
CAAGAUAUUGGGUAUUUCUGUC